Molecule: ribosomal RNA, 38 nt
Filed under: Clausena anisum-olens
Lineage: Eukaryota; Viridiplantae; Streptophyta; Magnoliopsida; Sapindales; Rutaceae
Also listed under: 5 other names
Description: partial 26S ribosomal RNA
Source: RNAcentral
CCGCGACCCCAGGUCAGGCGGGAUUACCCGCUGAGUUU